RNAcentral lists this small nucleolar RNA (88 nucleotides) under Dasypus novemcinctus (nine-banded armadillo). RNAcentral's name for it is "Small nucleolar RNA SNORD35 (ENSDNOG00000027527.1)". It matches the Rfam family "Small nucleolar RNA SNORD35". Rfam says of the family: U35 is a C/D box snoRNA located in intron 6 of ribosomal protein L13A and intron 3 of ribosomal protein S11 in humans and at homologous positions in mouse and chicken ribosomal protein genes. U35 guides the methylation of 2'-O-ribose sites in 28S rRNA. The record is from RNAcentral. Lineage: Eukaryota; Metazoa; Chordata; Mammalia; Cingulata; Dasypodidae.
GGCAAGUGAUGUCUGUUUUCACGAUGGUCUUCGGAUGCCCACCACGGGCAGUGCCGAGAAAUCUGCUCGGCAAAGCUGAUGCCGGCAG